RNAcentral lists this ribosomal RNA (253 nucleotides) under uncultured bacterium. RNAcentral's name for it is "partial 16S ribosomal RNA". It matches the Rfam family "Bacterial small subunit ribosomal RNA", at positions 524 to 776 of the family's 1533-position model. The record is from RNAcentral.
UACGUAGGGGGCUAGCGUUAUCCGGAUUCACUGGGUUUAAAGGGUGCGUAGGUGGGUUGGUAAGUCAGUGGUGAAAUCUCCGAGCUUAACUUGGAAACUGCCAUUGAUACUAUCAGUCUUGAAUACCGUGGAGGUCAGCGGAAUAUGUCAUGUAGCGGUGAAAUGCUUAGAUAUGACAUAGAACACCAAUUGCGAAGGCAGCUGACUACGCGAAUAUUGACACUGAUGCACGAAAGCGUGGGGAUCAAACAGG